Molecule: ribosomal RNA, 432 nt
Filed under: uncultured bacterium
Lineage: Bacteria
Description: partial 16S ribosomal RNA
Rfam family: Bacterial small subunit ribosomal RNA
Source: RNAcentral
AGCGAACGCUGGCGGCAGGCCUAACACAUGCAAGUCGAACGGAUCCUUCGGGAUUAGUGGCGGACGGGUGAGUAACACGUGGGAACGUGCCCUUUGGUUCGGAACAACUCAGGGAAACUUGAGCUAAUACCGGAUGUGCCCUUCGGGGAAAGAUUUAUCGCCAUUGGAGCGGCCCGCGUCUGAUUAGCUAGUUGGUGAGGUAACGGCCCACCAAGGCGACGAUCAGUAGCUGGUCUGAGAGGAUGAUCAGCCACACUGGGACUGAGACACGGCCCAGACUCCUACGGGAGGCAGCAGUGGGGAAUCUUGCGCAAUGGGCGAAAGCCUGACGCAGCCAUGCCGCGUGAAUGAUGAAGGUCUUAGGAUUGUAAAAUUCUUUCAGCGGGGACGAUAAUGACGGUACCCGCAGAAGAAGCUCCGGCUAACUUCGUG